ACGAACGCUGGCGGCGUGCUUAACACAUGCAAGUCGAGUGCGCGCCUGUAGCAAUACAGGUGGCGCACGGCGCACGGGUGCGUAACACGUGGGUAAUCUGCCCUCUGAUGGGGAAUAACCCGCCGAAAGGCGGGCUAAUACCGCAUAACAUUCCUUGGAUUUCGAUUCGAGGACUCAAAGGCGUAAGUCGUCGGAGGAGGAGCCCGCGCACGAUUAGCUAGUUGGUAGGGUAAUGGCCUACCAAGGCUUUGAUCGUUAGCUGGUCUGAGAGGAUGGCCAGCCACACUGGAACUGAGACACGGUCCAGACUCCUACGGGAGGCAGCAGUGGGGAAUCUUGCACAAUGGGCGAAAGCCUGAUGCAGCGACGCCGCGUGGGGGAUGAAGCAUUUCGGUGUGUAAACCCCUUUCGAUCCGGACGAAUGCCUCGCAAGAGGAGUGACGGUACGGAUAUAAGAAGCCCCGGCUAACUACGUGCCAGCAGCCGCGGUAAGACGUAGGGGGCCCAGCGUUGUUCGGAAUUACUGGGUGUAAAGGGUUCGUAGCGGUGUGCCAAGUUGGGUGUGAAAUCUCUGGGCUCACCCAGAGACUGCUUCCAAACUGCUGUGCUUGAGUGUGAAAAAGCCCCGUGAAUUGCAGGUGUAGCGGUGAAUGCGUAAUAUCUGCAGAACACCCGUGGCGGAAGCGGCGAGCUGGAUCACUACUGACGCUGAGGACCGAAGCUAGGGAGCCACAGGAUUAGAUACCC
RNAcentral lists this ribosomal RNA (747 nucleotides) under uncultured Acidobacteriaceae bacterium. RNAcentral's name for it is "bacterial SSU rRNA". It matches the Rfam family "Bacterial small subunit ribosomal RNA", at positions 29 to 787 of the family's 1533-position model. The record is from RNAcentral. Lineage: Bacteria; Pseudomonadati; Acidobacteriota; Terriglobia; Terriglobales; Acidobacteriaceae.